UACGUAGGGGGCGAGCGUUGUCCGGAGUUACUGGGCGUAAAGGGCACGCAGGCGGUGCGGCGCGUUUCGCGUGACAGCGGAGGGCUUACCUCUCCGAGGAUGCGAAAGACGGCGGCACUUGAGGGCCAGAGAGGGACACGGAAUUCCGGGUGGAGUGGUGAAAUGCGUAGAGAUCCGGAGGAACACCGAAGGCGAAGGCAGUGUCCUGGCUGGUGACUGACGCUGAGGUGCGAAAGCUAGGGGAGCGAACGGG
This 253-nucleotide ribosomal RNA is filed under the name uncultured prokaryote. RNAcentral's name for it is "partial 16S ribosomal RNA". It matches the Rfam family "Bacterial small subunit ribosomal RNA", at positions 524 to 776 of the family's 1533-position model. The record is from RNAcentral. RNAcentral also lists the same sequence under 1 other name.